RNAcentral lists this ribosomal RNA (473 nucleotides) under uncultured organism. RNAcentral's name for it is "partial 16S ribosomal RNA". It matches the Rfam family "Bacterial small subunit ribosomal RNA", at positions 334 to 797 of the family's 1533-position model. The record is from RNAcentral.
CACUCCUGGCGGGAGGCAGCAGUGGGGAAUUUUGGACAAUGGGCGAAAGCCUGAUCCAGCAAUGCCGCGUGUGUGAAGAAGGCCUUCGGGUUGUAAAGCACUUUUGUCCGGAAAGAAAUCCUUGGCUCUAAUACAGUCGGGGGAUGACGGUACCGGAAGAAUAAGCACCGGCUAACUACGUGCCAGCAGCCGCGGUAAUACGUAGGGUGCGAGCGUUAAUCGGAAUUACUGGGCGUAAAGCGUGCGCAGGCGGUUUGCUAAGACCGAUGUGAAAUCCCCGGGCUCAACCUGGGAACUGCAUUGGUGACUGGCAGGCUAGAGUAUGGCAGAGGGGGGUAGAAUUCCACGUGUAGCAGUGAAAUGCGUAGAGAUGUGGAGGAAUACCGAUGGCGAAGGCAGCCCCCUGGGCCAAUACUGACGCUCAUGCACGAAAGCGUGGGGAGCAAACAGGAUUAGAUACCCUGGUAGUCCCA